Folsomia candida is the source of this 829-nucleotide long non-coding RNA. RefSeq lists it as uncharacterized. The transcript is spliced from 2 exons. The record is from RefSeq and is a predicted model, not a curated record. NCBI's taxonomy places the organism in Eukaryota, Metazoa, Arthropoda, Collembola, Entomobryomorpha, Isotomidae.
CUGGUUCAGUUUUGGUGCGAUUGCACUGAGAAAUAAAGAUCAUAUUUCCAUUGCAAAAAAAAUUUGUAGGAUUAUUAGCGGUACAUUUUCGAAAAAUUUUAAAUUUUUGAAUCAUUCAUAUCUACAUACAGCGACAUGUCGUGUAACCCUUCCAGACUUGAGCAGUUGAUUGAAACCGCGAAUUUGAAGAGAAGAAGUGAAACAGACAAGGAAAUAUUGAAAUACCACAUGGAACAAGAUCAGCUUAGAUUGGCAAAAUGCAACUAUGUCCCAGAAAACAGUUUAAAGUGGAAGAAUUCCACGUUUAACAGAUCCACCAUUUCGGGAAGGACACAUUUUAAUCUUGUGUAAAUAUUUUGCAUUGUAAUAACAAAUGCCCCUUAAGUUUAUUUUGUUUUAAAUUAAAAUAUGUACUAUCAUUAACUUAUGAUGCACAAAGCAAGUUGCACAUUUAAAUACGUUGAGUAUGUAUCAACAUUUGGAAAAUCUUAAUUGUGUAAUGUAUUCUCUUGGCUGUAAAUUUGUUAAAUAACCAUAAAUAAAUAUGUAACAUAAUUUUGUCUGCAGAAAUACUUAUUGAGCCUAUAUAAACAUACAUACUUAUAAGACGAACUUAUUCUAUUUACAUACAUAUUUGUAUAUGUAACACAAAUUGAAAUUGACGAGAUGCCGUUUUCGUGAAAAUUAACCGAUAUUGCACAAUAACUAUCAUCUUAACUAUGUCGUAGAAAAUCUGUAACAAUUAAAUAAUACAUAAUUCGCCACAUAUGUGCAAGGUAAAUGGAUAUGUAAAUAAUAGUAUUAAAUAUACAUGUAAAUAUCACUUAAA